This 497-nucleotide ribosomal RNA is filed under the name uncultured bacterium. RNAcentral's name for it is "partial 16S ribosomal RNA". It matches the Rfam family "Bacterial small subunit ribosomal RNA", at positions 28 to 507 of the family's 1533-position model. The record is from RNAcentral.
GAUGAACGCUGGCGGCGUGCCUAAUACAUGCAAGUCGAGCGAACAGACGAGGAGCUUGCUCCUCUGACGUUAGCGGCGGACGGGUGAGUAACACGUGGAUAACCUACCUAUAAGACUGGGAUAACUUCGGGAAACCGGAGCUAAUACCGGAUAAUAUAUUGAACCGCAUGGUUCAAUAGUGAAAGACGGUUUUGCUGUCACUUAUAGAUGGAUCCGCGCCGCAUUAGCUAGUUGGUAAGGUAACGGCUUACCAAGGCAACGAUGCGUAGCCGACCUGAGAGGGUGAUCGGCCACACUGGAACUGAGACACGGUCCAGACUCCUACGGGAGGCCGCAGUAGGGAAUCUUCCGCAAUGGGCGAAAGCCUGACGGAGCAACACCGCGUGAGUGAUGAAGGUCUUCGGAUCGGAAAACUCUGUUAUUAGGGAAGAACAAAUGUGUAAGUAACUAUGCACAUCUUGACGGUACCUAGUCAGAAAGCCACGGCUAACUACGUG